CAACCUGCCUUUCUGAUGGGGACAACAUCCCGAAAGGGGUGCUAAUACCGAAUGAUGUAUGUUUCCCACAUGGGAAAGAUACCAAAGAUGGCCUCUACUUGUAAGCUAUCGCAGAAAGAUGGGCCUGCGUCUGAUUAGCCAGUUGGCGGGUAACGGCCCACCAAAGCGACGAUCAGUAGCCGGUCUGAGAGGAUGAACGGCCACAUUGGGACUGAGACACGGCCCAGACUCCUACGGGAGGCAGCAGUGGGGAAUCUUCCGCAAUGGGCGCAAGCCUGACGGAGCAACGCCGCGUGAGUGAAGAAGGUCUUCGGAUCGUAAAGCUCUGUUGAGAGGGACGAAUGCCGCUUCUGUGAAUAAUGGGAGCGGAUGACGGUACCUUUCGAGGAAGCCACGGCUAACUACGUGCC
RNAcentral lists this ribosomal RNA (410 nucleotides) under uncultured bacterium. Its description in RNAcentral is "partial 16S ribosomal RNA". It matches the Rfam family "Bacterial small subunit ribosomal RNA", at positions 122 to 509 of the family's 1533-position model. The record is from RNAcentral.